RNAcentral lists this ribosomal RNA (266 nucleotides) under uncultured Anoxybacillus sp. RNAcentral's name for it is "partial 16S ribosomal RNA". It matches the Rfam family "Bacterial small subunit ribosomal RNA", at positions 1113 to 1382 of the family's 1533-position model. The record is from RNAcentral. Lineage: Bacteria; Bacillati; Bacillota; Bacilli; Caryophanales; Anoxybacillaceae.
AGUUGCCAGCAUUCAGUUGGGCACUCUAAGGUGACUGCGGCUAAAAGUCGGAGGAAGUGGGGAUGACGUCAAAUCAUCAUGCCCCUUAUGACCUGGGCUACACACGUGCUACAAUGGGCGGUACAAAGGGUCGCGAACCCGCGAGGGGGAGCCAAUCCCAAAAAGCCGCUCUCAGUUCGGAUUGCAGGCUGCAACUCGCCUGCAUGAAGCCGGAAUCGCUAGUAAUCGCGGAUCAGCAUGCCGCGGUGAAUACGUUCCCGGGCCUU